CCUACGGGAGUCUGUAGUCGAGAAUCUUCGGCAAUGGACGCAAGUCCGACCGAGCGACGCCGCGUGCGGGAUGAAGGCCUUCGGGUUGUAAACCGCUGUCAGUGGGGAGGAAAUUCGGGAGGGUUAUCCCUUUCGAUUGACCUAUCUUCAGAGGAAGUGCGGGCUAAGUUCGUGCCAGCAGCCGCGGUAAGACGAACCGCACAAACGUUAUUCGGAAUUACUGGGCUUAAAGGGGGCGUAGGCGGUCCGGCAAGUUGGGUGUGAAAGCCCUCGGCUCAACCGAGGAACUGCGCUCAAAACUGCCGGACUUGAGGGAGAUAGAGGUGAGCGGAACUUAGGGUGGAGCGGUGAAAUGCGUUGAUAUCCUAAGGAACACCAGUUGCGAAGGCGGCUCACUGGGUCUCUUCUGACGCUGAGGCACGAAAGCUAGGGGAGCGAAGA
This 441-nucleotide ribosomal RNA is filed under the name uncultured prokaryote. Its description in RNAcentral is "bacterial SSU rRNA". It matches the Rfam family "Bacterial small subunit ribosomal RNA", at positions 338 to 774 of the family's 1533-position model. The record is from RNAcentral.